RNAcentral lists this ribosomal RNA (322 nucleotides) under uncultured eukaryote. Its description in RNAcentral is "partial 18S ribosomal RNA". It matches the Rfam family "Eukaryotic small subunit ribosomal RNA", at positions 1470 to 1796 of the family's 1831-position model. The record is from RNAcentral.
CCCUUAGAUGUUCUGGGCCGCACGCGUGCUACACUGAGUGGAUCAGCGGGUCAGGUUACGCGAGAGCGUUUCCUAAUCUUCAAAUCCGCUCGUGAUGGGGAUUGACGGUUGCAAUUUUCCGUCAUGAACGAGGAAUACCUUGUAAGCGCGGGUCAUCAUCCCGCGCUGAAUACGUCCCUGCCCUUUGUACACACCGCCCGUCGCUCCUACCGAUUGAGUGGUCCGAUGAGGCUUUGGGAUCUAAGCGAAAAGAGCGUUUCGCUCCUUUUGCUGGGAGAACUCAGUCGAACCUUAUCAUUUAGAGGAAGGAGAAGUCGUAACA